Molecule: ribosomal RNA, 492 nt
Filed under: uncultured bacterium
Lineage: Bacteria
Description: partial 16S ribosomal RNA
Rfam family: Bacterial small subunit ribosomal RNA
Source: RNAcentral
AUUGAACGCUGGCGGCAUGCUUUACACAUGCAAGUCGAACGGUAACAAGCCUUCGGGUGCUGACGAGUGGCGAACGGGUGAGUAAUGCAUCGGAACGUGCCCAGAGGUGGGGGAUAACGCAGCGAAAGCUGUGCUAAUACCGCAUGUGAUCUGAGGAUGAAAGCGGGGGACCAGGCAGCAAUGUUUGGCCUCGCGCCUUUGGAGCGGCCGAUGUCAGAUUAGGUAGUUGGUGGGGUAAAGGCCUACCAAGCCGACGAUCUGUAGCUGGUCUGAGAGGACGACCAGCCACACUGGGACUGAGACACGGCCCAGACUCCUACGGGAGGCAGCAGUGGGGAAUUUUGGACAAUGGGCGCAAGCCUGAUCCAGCAAUGCCGCGUGCGGGAAGAAGGCCUUCGGGUUGUAAACCGCUUUUGUACGGAACGAAAAGGCUCUGGCUAAUACCUGGGGCUGAUGACGGUACCGUAAGAAUAAGCACCGGCUAACUACGUG